UAAGAGUUAGUUUAAUAUUAGAAUUGUUGACUGUUGAUCAAUGGGUGAUUCUCUUAG
This 57-nucleotide transfer RNA is filed under the name Ascaris lumbricoides (common roundworm). RNAcentral's name for it is "tRNA-Asn". The record is from RNAcentral. Lineage: Eukaryota; Metazoa; Nematoda; Chromadorea; Rhabditida; Ascarididae. RNAcentral also lists the same sequence under 5 other names.